This 453-nucleotide ribosomal RNA is filed under the name uncultured bacterium. RNAcentral's name for it is "bacterial SSU rRNA". It matches the Rfam family "Bacterial small subunit ribosomal RNA", at positions 340 to 786 of the family's 1533-position model. The record is from RNAcentral.
UACGGGAGGCAGCAGUGGGGAAUAUUGCACAAUGGGCGCAAGCCUGAUGCAGCCAUGCCGCGUGUAUGAAGAAGGCCUUCGGGUUGUAAAGUACUUUCAGUCGUGAGGAAGGUGUUAAGGUUAAUAACCUUAGCAAUUGACGUUAGCGACAGAAGAAGCACCGGCUAACUCCGUGCCAGCAGCCGCGGUAAUACGGAGGGUGCGAGCGUUAAUCGGAAUUACUGGGCGUAAAGGGCACGCAGGCGGUUAAUUAAGUUGGAUGUGAAAUCCCCGGGCUUAACCUGGGAAUGGCAUUCAAGACUGGUUAGCUAGAGUCUUGUAGAGGGGGUAGAAUUCCAUGUGUAGCGGUGAAAUGCGUAGAGAUGUGGAGGAAUACCGGUGGCGAAGGCGGCCCCCUGGACAAAGACUGACGCUCAUGUGCGAAAGCUGGGGAGCAAACAGGGAUUAGAUACC